RNAcentral lists this microRNA precursor (89 nucleotides) under Vigna radiata var. radiata (mung bean). Its description in RNAcentral is "mir-393 microRNA precursor family". It matches the Rfam family "mir-393 microRNA precursor family". The record is from Rfam by way of RNAcentral. Lineage: Eukaryota; Viridiplantae; Streptophyta; Magnoliopsida; Fabales; Fabaceae.
GGUGGACACUUCCAAAGGGAUCGCAUUGAUCUAAGUCUUGCAUUGCUUUUCACUGAUUUCGAUCAUGCCAUCCCUUUGGAAUUUUCCAU